This 468-nucleotide ribosomal RNA is filed under the name uncultured bacterium. RNAcentral describes it as "partial 16S ribosomal RNA". It matches the Rfam family "Bacterial small subunit ribosomal RNA", at positions 28 to 507 of the family's 1533-position model. The record is from RNAcentral.
GACGAACGCUGGCGGCGUGCUUAACACAUGCGAGUCGAACGGAAAGGCCCUGCUUUUGUGGGGUGCUCGAGUGGCGAACGGGUGAGUAACACGUGAGUAACCUGCCCUUGACUUUGUGAUAACUUCAGGAAACUGGGGCUAAUACCGGAUAGGAGCUCCUGCUGCAUGGUGGGGGUUGGAAAGUUUCGGCGGUUGGGGCUGGACUCGCGGCUUAUCAGCUUGUUGGUGGGGUAGUGGCUUACCAAGGCUUUGACGGGUAGCCGGCCUGAGAGGGUGACCGGCCACAUUGGGACUGAGAUACGGACCAGACUGCUACGGGAGGCAGCAGUGGGGAAUAUUGCACAAUGGGCGGAAGCCUGAUGCAGCAACGCCGCGUGCGGGAUGACGGCCUUCGGGUUGUAAACCGCUUUCGCCUGUGACGAAGCGUGAGUGACGGUAAUGGGUAAAGAAGCACCGGCUAACUACGUG